GGAAUAAAAGUCGUAACAAGGUUUCCGUAGGUGAACCUGCGGAAGGAUCAUUAAAGGAUUUGCCCCGUCCUCUCGAGGAUGGGUCCUCUUCUAAACCGUGUAUACAUACCUUUGUUGCUUUGGCGGGCCGCCGUCUCGGCGUUGGCUUCGGCUGACUGUGCCCGCCAGAGAACCCCAACUCUUCUGUUUAGUAUUGUCUGAGUACUAUAUAAUAGUUAAAACUUUCAACAACGGAUCUCUUGGUUCUG
RNAcentral lists this unclassified non-coding RNA (248 nucleotides) under plant metagenome. RNAcentral describes it as "partial contains small subunit ribosomal RNA, internal transcribed spacer 1, and 5.8S ribosomal RNA". The stretch from base 1 to 53 matches the Rfam family "Eukaryotic small subunit ribosomal RNA", at positions 1779 to 1831 of the family's 1831-position model. The record is from RNAcentral.